This is a non-coding RNA of Punica granatum (pomegranate), 2220 nucleotides long. NCBI's taxonomy places the organism in Eukaryota, Viridiplantae, Streptophyta, Magnoliopsida, Myrtales, Lythraceae. The record is from RefSeq and is a predicted model, not a curated record.
CUCCAUCAUCGGCCAAAUUUUAAAACUUUGUGAAAAAAUGAGUAAAUUUUAUUAAUGAGAAUAAUGGGAACGUUUAAUGGGUAAAAUAUUGUAAUUUAUCUUUCUUUUGGUUGGCACUUUAUUUAUGGGCAAAAAUGUAUAUUUUGUAAUAUAUUUCUCUUCUUAAAAAAAUGAAUGUAACUUUUGGUAACAGAGUGAAAUUUAUGAUUUAAUUUGAUUUUAAAUUUUCAACAAUUGAAAAUCGACUCGUAAUUUUCUUGUUUUUUCAAAAAUUGCUCAGCUCCUCUCUCUCCACUCAACUCUCUCUCUCUCUCUCCUUGCUCUCUCUACUACUCUUCCUCCUGUCACCACGAAAUCUGAUCGAAUUCUCAUCUCAGCCAUUACCAUUCCCAUCUAGGUCGAGGAAGCUCACGGCCUUGCUGCUUGGGAGAGGAACAACCACAGGGACGAUGACUUGAUGACACCUAGGUGCCUUCCGAGGAGGGGGAGACCCUCGAGCCGUGAGAGAAACGAGGUCCCCACGUGAAGAACACGAGAAGCGACGGUGAGGUUGCCGAGGAUGGCCUGGGCUACCACUGUGGCGUCAGAACCCGAUAAGGUUGUCCUAGUCAUCGAGGGUCUAUCAGAGGAGGCGGAAGGAGAUCUUGGCUCUCCCAAUUUUAGGGUUUCGUCAAAUCGAAAUUCGAGGUGAAAUUUCGUUUGAUUUCUUGCUCGAGGUUUGUCAAAUCGAGAUUUGAGACUCGUCGUGACUCAGAGAACUAUUACUGUGAGUUGUAAUUGGCUUGUUGUGCGUGGAACGGCCAUGGGAGUGAGGUGGUUAGUUAGAGAAAAGGGAAGAAGGAUAUGAAAAAUACGAUGAAUACCGAAAUAGAAGGGGUGGGGCAAAAUUUAAAAAAUUUGAGUCGUUUUGAAAUUUUAAAAUUUUUUCAGUUAAGUUAAAGAAAGGGUAACUUCGUUACCAAAUCGGAACAGAAAGUAAGAUCAACUACGCUCGCUUCUGAAUUUAUAUAGUAUAGAUAGUAUACCCUCACCACACUCAACUUCGGUUUUCCGGACGGGCGGCCUAGGCCCAAACGAUACGAACAGGCUACUAAAUAAACCAUUUGUGGGCCAUGAGUUGGCAGACAUGGGCCAUGGGCCCAUCGCCCAUGAAAGAAAUUGAACUAAUUGGAGUCAAAUGCAAAAUUUAUCGCGCGAAGCAAAGAAACUAUUAAAACACUUGCGAAGCUGCCGCCUCUAUUCCCAUGACGUUAUGGGAUCACCUGCGGGAGAUCGGCGGUCUGUAGAGGCAAUCGGCAGCGAUCACCGGCGGUAGAAACUGCUGUAAGUAGCCUCGCAGAUCGCCUAUGCUUACAUACUACGUGAAGCCCGAGGAGGAGCCGCUUUGGGAGUUCACUGAUGCGGUUGACGGUCCGGACGGCAAUGAGAUGAUUCCAGCUAUCGCCGGAAGACAAUCUGAGAAUAGCGACGACGAACUUCUACACUGAGCUUUCUCCGUUGGGGGAUUGUGCGGACUCUUUCAUUCUACCAAAAUGGAUCAAAACAUUACAGGACAAGAAGGAAGAUUUUUUCUAUUAGUGCUACGUAAAAUUGGAAAUCCGAUGUCUCUUUUGUAUAGGUCCACCAUGCCUGGGAUAUCAUGACAAUACCCUGGGCUGCUCAGCCUAGAAGAAAGUCGAACUUGAUUAGUAGAUACUUUUCUUGAUAGUGUGUUCAAUUACAAAGUUGAGCUCUCCACAUUGCCACAGCCAUCAACUUGCAGGGUUGCAGCUUGAUCAAUUUAUAUACUUUAUGUCUCUGUGGUGAUCUCACAAAGCUCUAAUGGGAUCUGGAUCAUGUCCUCAGAGCCAGAACUAUACUAAAGUCGUUAAGGACCAAACAGAUUCUUGUGCCACUCUCAUCCAAGAAGCUAACAUACAUAAAACUAGGACUCGAGCUGAUGGACAGCUUCCUACCACAUACACGAGAUGCUGAUUAUGGGAAGCAUUGAGAGGACUAGAAUAUAGAAGCUUGGAGCACAUCUGAAUCAAACUUCAUGGAGAGCAUUUCAGCCGACAAUGGCAUAUGAGGAGGGAUCUUUAGAGUCCCAUUUUUUCCACUUCUGAGAAGGAACAGUUUGGAUUCUUUCACCUGUUAGUGUAGGAAAAUCAGUAGUGGAGGAGAACUAAGGGGCAACCAAAUGGAGCCAACCUUGUGGACUCUAUUAAUUUGUCUUCUCUU